GAACGCUGGCGGCGUGCUUAACACAUGCAAGUCGAGCGAGGCCAGGGGGUCAACUCCCUGAGUCGAGCGGCGGACGGGUGAGUAACACGUGGGUAACCUACCCGGAAGUGGGGAAUACCUCGGGGAAACUCGAGCUAAUACCGCAUGACAUCUUUGGGACGAAAGUCCUGACGAUCAAAGCGGGGUCGCAAGAUCUCGCGCUACCGGAUGGGCCCGCGCCCGAUUAGCUAGUUGGUGAGGUAACGGCUCACCAAGGCGACGAUCGGUAACCGGCCUGAGAGGGCGAUCGGUCACACCGGAACUGAGACACGGUCCGGACUCCUACGGGAGGCAGCAGUGGGGAAUCUUGCGCAAUGGGCGAAAGCCUGACGCAGCAACGCCGCGUGGAGGAUGAAGGCCCUUGGGUUGUAAACUCCUGUCGGCUGGGAAGAAAUCGUUCGCGGUUAAUACCCGCGGACGUUGACUGUACCAGCAAAGGAAGCCCCGGCUAACUCUGUGCCAGCAGCCGCGGUAAUACAGAGGGGGCCAGCGUUAUUCGGAAUUAUUGGGCGUAAAGGGCGCGUAGGCGGCCAUGCGUGUCUUCCGUGAAAUCCCUCGGCUCAACCGAGGACGUGCGGAAGAAACUGCAAGGCUCGAGUCCAGAAGAGGGGGGCGGAAUUCCCAGUGUAGCGGUGAAAUGCGUAGAUAUUGGGAGGAACACCGGUGGCGAAGGCGGCCCCCUGGGCUGGUACUGACGCUGAUGCGCGAAAGCGUGGGUAGCAAACGGGAUUAGAUACCCCGGUAGUCCACGCCGUAAACGAUGGGCACUUGGUGUCGCGGGUAUCGACCCCUGCGGUGCCGAAGCUAACGCAUUAAGUGCCCCGCCUGGGGGA
RNAcentral lists this ribosomal RNA (872 nucleotides) under uncultured bacterium. Its description in RNAcentral is "bacterial SSU rRNA". It matches the Rfam family "Bacterial small subunit ribosomal RNA", at positions 31 to 880 of the family's 1533-position model. The record is from RNAcentral.